UCAGAGUGAACGCUGGCGGUAGGCCUAACACAUGCAAGUCGAACGGCAGCACAGUAAGAGCUUGCUCUUAUGGGUGGCGAGUGGCGGACGGGUGAGGAAUACAUCGGAAUNUACUUUUUCGUGGGGGAUAACGUAGGGAAACUUACGCUAAUACCGCAUACGACCUACGGGUGAAAGCAGGGGAUNUUCGGACCUUGCGCGAUUGAAUGAGCCGAUGUCGGAUUAGCUAGUUGGCGGGGUAAAGGCCCACCAAGGCGACGAUCCGUAGCUGGUNUGAGAGGAUGAUCAGCCACACUGGAACUGAGACACGGUCCAGACUCCUACGGGAGGCAGCAGUGGGGAAUAUUGGACAAUGGGCGCAAGCCUGAUCCAGCCAUACCGCGUGGGUGAAGAAGGCCUUCGGGUUGUAAAGCCCUUUUGUUGGGAAAGAAAUCCAGCCGGUUAAUACCUGGUUGGGAUGACGGUACCCAAAGAAUAAGCACCGGCUAACUUCGUGCCAGCAGCCGCGGUAAUACGAAGGGUGCAAGCGUUACUCGGAAUUACUGGGCGUAAAGCGUGCGUAGGUGGUUGUUUAAGUCUGUUGUGAAAGCCCUGGGCUCAACCUGGGAACUGCAGUGGAAACUGGGCAACUAGAGUGUGGUAGAGGGUAGCGGAAUUCCCGGUGUAGCAGUGAAAUGCGUAGAGAUCGGGAGGAACAUCCAUGGCGAAGGCAGCUNCNGGNCCA
RNAcentral lists this ribosomal RNA (724 nucleotides) under Stenotrophomonas chelatiphaga. Its description in RNAcentral is "bacterial SSU rRNA". It matches the Rfam family "Bacterial small subunit ribosomal RNA", at positions 24 to 736 of the family's 1533-position model. Lineage: Bacteria; Pseudomonadati; Pseudomonadota; Gammaproteobacteria; Lysobacterales; Lysobacteraceae. The record is from RNAcentral.